CCUACGGGGGGCUGCAGUGAGGAAUAUUGGUCAAUGGACGAGAGUCUGAACCAGCCAAGUAGCGUGAAGGAUGACUGCCCUAUGGGUUGUAAACUUCUUUUAUAAAGGAAUAAAACGAGGCACGUGUGCCUUUUUGCAUGUACUUUAUGAAUAAGGAUCGGCUAACUCCGUGCCAGCAGCCGCGGUAAUACGGAGGAUCCGAGCGUUAUCCGGAUUUAUUGGGUUUAAAGGGAGCGUAGAUGGGUUGUUAAGUCAGUUGUGAAAGUUUGCGGCUCAACCGUAAAAUUGCAAUUGAUACUGGCAGUCGUGAGUACAGUUGAGGUAGGCGGAAUUCGUGGUGUAGCGGUGAAAUGCUUAGAUAUCACGAAGAACUCCGAUUGCGAAGGCAGCUUACUAAACUGCCACUGACAUUGAUGCUCGAAAGUGUGGGUAUCAAACAGGAUUAGAUACCCGAGUAGUC
RNAcentral lists this ribosomal RNA (460 nucleotides) under uncultured bacterium. Its description in RNAcentral is "partial 16S ribosomal RNA". It matches the Rfam family "Bacterial small subunit ribosomal RNA", at positions 338 to 795 of the family's 1533-position model. The record is from RNAcentral.